Molecule: ribosomal RNA, 300 nt
Filed under: uncultured bacterium
Lineage: Bacteria
Description: bacterial SSU rRNA
Rfam family: Bacterial small subunit ribosomal RNA
Source: RNAcentral
CCUAACUUCGUGCCAGUCGCCCGGGGAAUACGAGUGGUGCAUGCGUUAUGCGGAAUUACUGGGCGUAAAGCUUGCGUAGGUGGUCGUUUAAGUCCGUUGUGAAAGCCCUGGGCUCAACCUGGGAACGGCAGUGGAUACUGGAAGUCUAGAGUGCGGUAGAGGGUAGUGGAAUUCCCGGUGUAGCAGUGAAAUGCGUAGAGAUCUGGAGGAAUACCGGUGGCGAAGGCGGCCCCCUGGACAAAGACUGACGCUCAUGCACGAAAGCGUGGGGAGCAAACAGGAUUAGAUACCCCGGUAGUC